GAAGCUUCCCCUGUGUCCAAUGGAUUCAAUGCUAGUGGGCUCUAAGGCUCUAAGGCAAGGCCAAGCCCUUGGAGUUAGCGCCUCUGGGAUAACAUAGUUAAGAAGAGGGAAAAGUUACUGACAGUAGCAAUUGCAGCCAGAGAAAAGUGAGAAUAUAUGAGGGAAACAGCCCUGCAGACCCUAAGGACAGUGAAGAAAAAACCAAACAAAAAAACCAUAAAAGAUCUGUUGCUUUGAAUACAAGAAUCACUGUUUCUCUGCAAGUGUGCUCUACAAGGGAAAGUUGCAAGGGCAGCAUUUGUGAGCUUUAAAUGAUGAGUGCAGAGCUGCUUAUCUUCCCCAAUCAAUGAUUCUUUCAGUGAAUAUGAUCAUGAAGGAAACUGAGUUCCUAUGCAAACUGGGCUUUAUGAAGGAAGCUAGAGGCAGUUCUCAUUAGUCUCACUGACAUCUUUUAUCACUUAUCAGAGGAACAAGCAAACGGAGAGCAAUUCCUUUGAUCAUGGCAAAAGUAGGAAGAGUAUUAAAAACCCUAUGAAGAUUCACUAAGUAGAAAGUAGAAAAGACAGUCUGUGGUGUGUUUCAAAGAGGUAACAUGAUUUAAAGUUGCCAGAUUUACUUGUAUAUAUUAAAGAAUUGUUAAUGAUGUUACAUUUUACAUGCAUCCUUACGUCCUU
This is a long non-coding RNA of Neopsephotus bourkii (Bourke's parrot), 674 nucleotides long. RefSeq lists it as uncharacterized. The record is from RefSeq and is a predicted model, not a curated record. NCBI's taxonomy places the organism in Eukaryota, Metazoa, Chordata, Aves, Psittaciformes, Psittacidae. The transcript is spliced from 2 exons.